GCAUCGGUGGUUCAAUGGUAGAAUGCUCGCCUGCCACGCGGGCGAUCCGGGUUCGAUUCCCGGCCGAUGCA
Non-coding RNA from Dendroctonus ponderosae (mountain pine beetle), 71 nucleotides. Lineage: Eukaryota; Metazoa; Arthropoda; Insecta; Coleoptera; Curculionidae. The record is from Rfam.